GACGAACCGUACGAACGUUAUUCGGAAUCACUGGGCUUAAAGGGUGCGUAGGCGGCGCGACAAGUUGGGUGUGAAAUCCCACGGCUCAACCGUGGAACUGCUGGGUAUACUGGUUGUCUUGAGCCAGCUAGGGGCGAGCGGAACAGACGGUGGAGCGGUGAAAUGCGUAGAUAUCGUCUGGAACGCCGAAGGUGAAAACAGCUCGCUGGGGCUGCGCUGACGCUGAGACACGAAAGCCAGGGGAGCGAACGGG
RNAcentral lists this ribosomal RNA (253 nucleotides) under uncultured bacterium. Its description in RNAcentral is "partial 16S ribosomal RNA". It matches the Rfam family "Bacterial small subunit ribosomal RNA", at positions 524 to 776 of the family's 1533-position model. The record is from RNAcentral.